GACGGGACCCGCACAAGCGGUGGAUGAUGUGGUUUAAUUCGAUGCAACGCGAAAACCUUACCCACCUUUGACAUGGCAGGAAUCCUGAAGGGAUUUAGGAGUGCUCGAAAGAGAACCUGCACACAGGUGCUGCAUGGCUGUCGUCAGCUCGUGUCGUGAGAUGUUGGGUUAAGUCCCGCAACGAGCGCAACCCUUGCCAUUAGUUGCUACGAAAGGGCACUCUAAUGGGACUGCCGGUGACAAACCGGAGGAAGGUGGGGAUGACGUCAAGUCCUCAUGGCCCUUAUAGGUGGGGCUACACACGUCAUACAAUGGCCGGUACAGAGGGUAGCCAACCCGCGAGGGGGAGCCAAUCCCACAAAGCCGGUCGUAGUCCGGAUCGCAGUCUGCAACUCGACUGCGUGAAGUCGGAAUCGCUAGUAAUCGCGGAUCAGCAUGUCGCGGUGAAUACGUUCCCGGGUCUU
This 464-nucleotide ribosomal RNA is filed under the name uncultured Allobrachymonas sp. RNAcentral describes it as "bacterial SSU rRNA". It matches the Rfam family "Bacterial small subunit ribosomal RNA", at positions 916 to 1381 of the family's 1533-position model. The record is from RNAcentral. Lineage: Bacteria; Pseudomonadati; Pseudomonadota; Betaproteobacteria; Burkholderiales; Comamonadaceae.